Molecule: ribosomal RNA, 420 nt
Filed under: uncultured bacterium
Lineage: Bacteria
Description: bacterial SSU rRNA
Rfam family: Bacterial small subunit ribosomal RNA
Source: RNAcentral
GGGAAUAUUGCACAAUGGGCGCAAGCCUGAUGCAGCGACGCCGCGUGCGGGAUGGAGGCCUUCGGGUUGUAAACCGCUUUUGUUCAAGGGCAAGGCGCGGUCUUUGGCCGUGUUGAGUGGAUUGUUCGAAUAAGCACCGGCUAACUACGUGCCAGCAGCCGCGGUAAUACGUAGGGUGCAAGCGUUAUCCGGAUUUAUUGGGCGUAAAGGGCUCGUAGGCGGUUCGUCGCGUCCGGUGUGAAAGUCCAUCGCUUAACGGUGGAUCCGCGCCGGGUACGGGCGGGCUUGAGUGCGGUAGGGGAGACUGGAAUUCCCGGUGUAACGGUGGAAUGUGUAGAUAUCGGGAAGAACACCAAUGGCGAAGGCAGGUCUCUGGGCCGUUACUGACGCUGAGGAGCGAAAGCGUGGGGAGCGAACAGG